AACGGAGGCGCUCAAAGGUUCCCUCAGAAUGGUUGGAAAUCAUUCAUAGAGUGUAAAGGCAUAAGGGAGCUUGACUGCGAGACCUACAAGUCGAGCAGGGUCGAAAGACGGACUUAGUGAUCCGGUGGUUCCGCAUGGAAGGGCCAUCGCUCAACGGAUAAAAGCUACCCCGGGGAUAACAGGCUUAUCUCCCCCAAGAGUUCACAUCGACGGGGAGGUUUGGCACCUCGAUGUCGGCUCAUCGCAUCCUGGGGCUGUAGUCGGUCCCAAGGGUUGGGCUGUUCGCCCAUUAAAGCGGUACGCGAGCUGGGUUCAGAACGUCGUGAGACAGUUCGGUCCCUAUCCGUCGUGGGCGUAGGAAAUUUGAGAGGAGCUGUCCUUAGUACGAGAGGACCGGGAUGGACAUACCUCUGGUGUACCAGUUGUCGUGCCAACGGCAUAGCUGGGUAGCUAUGUAUGGACGGGAUAAGUGCUGAAAGCAUCUAAGCAUGAAGCCCCCCUCAAGAUGAGAUUUCCCAACUUCGGUUAUAAGAUCCCUCAAAGAUGAUGAGGUUAAUAGGUUCGAGGUGGAAGCGUGGUGACAC
Molecule: ribosomal RNA, 584 nt
Filed under: Staphylococcus sp. HMSC074C02
Lineage: Bacteria; Bacillati; Bacillota; Bacilli; Caryophanales; Staphylococcaceae
Description: bacterial LSU rRNA
Rfam family: Bacterial large subunit ribosomal RNA
Source: RNAcentral